GAGCCGUCACCGCCUGACCAUCGUCGUCUAGUAUUGAACUCCCAAAUUCCUCGAUAACACUUUGCAAUAUUUCGCCUUCUUCCUCCCCGCGCCCUAGCCUUCGAUCCACCCCCAAAUUCGACCCUCCCUUCCACUCCCUCCUCAUCGUCAUGGCGUCAGACACCGAGGGCAUAGCCGCGCUGUUCUCCAUGUACAACGAUGACGACGAAGAGGACGCCGACGAGCCCGGACCUCCUUCCCCGCCGCCGCCCGCUGCGGCAGCCUCCCCCUCCACGUCACCUCGAACCGGAGGUGAGAGCUCCAACCCUAACUCGAACCCCAACCCUUCGCCGGAGCACUCGCCCCCUCCCCUCCUCGAGGAGCAGGCCGGCCGCAAAACCCUAGCGAGCCCCCAGGUCUCGCCGGCGCUUCCGCCGCUGCCCUCGCGCCGUUCGCCCCUGCCCUUCGCGGUUUCGUCCCCCUCCCCAUCUCGCCCCCCGCUGUCCGCCCCGCCGCCCGAUCUACCGCGGCCGCCACGGCGCGGGUCGCUUGCUAUAGUGGACUACGCGCAUGACGAGAUGGCAAUGUCGCCUGACCAGGAGGACGGGGAGAUCAUGAGUGGCAUAGGCGGUUUGGGCUCGGAUGCUCAGGAUGCUGAGGGGAUUCUUGAAGAAAGAAUUCUCUCAGGUACUGUUAAUAUUCUCACCCCAAAAGUCCUAUCAGAAACUUCUCAGCAUUUGGAUGCACCUGAGCAGAACCAAAUGGGGGCAGAUGUUCCAGUGGAUGUAACUGGAACAGAAGCUGAAGAUGCUAGGGUGGAGGAAGCUUCUGAUAUUUCUACCAAUGUUCACAAUGAUGAUCCAUUGAGCCGUUUUCUUCCUCUGCCCGUGUCUACAAAAUGUUCUACAGCAUUACAGCAAAGGAUUAACAAGUUCCUUGGAUACAAAAGGUCUGGAAAGAGCUUUAAUGCUGAAGUGCGUAACAGAAAGGACUACAGAAAUCCUGACUUUUUGCAGCAUGCUGUGCGGUAUCAAGAAAUUGAUCAGAUAGGGACCUGCUUCAGUAAAGAUGUUUUCAAUCCAUAUGGGUACGAUAAAAGUGACUACUACGAUGAGAUAGAAGCUGAUAUGAAGCGUGAACUUGAGAGGAAGGAACAGGAGAAGAAAAGAAAUCCAAGAAUUGAUUUUACUAGCUCUGGAAUACAACCUCCAAUCAAUCCAUCAAUAGCGAAGAUUUCAGCCGCCAUAUCAGCAGCAGCUGUAGCUGGUGUAUCGGUUCCGGCAUCGGCAGAUACUGUACAGAAAGAGGCUAGGCCAAACAAAAAGUCAAAAUGGGAUAAGCUAGGUUGAUGGUGAUACUAAGAACCCUGCAGCUGCUAGUGGACUUGACAAUCGGUCAGCAGCCGGUGGAUCUGCCACACUUUUGACUUCUGAAAAUGCUGGUGCUGGUGGAUAUGCUGCUUUUGCGCAACAGAAGAGAAAAGAAGCUGAAGAAAGGAGGACAAGUGAUUACAAGUCAGAUAGGAGAUCAUAGCUGUUCUAUUUUGUUAUUUGAUUGGGAGAUUUCGGAUUGCAUAGUUGUGUAAUCAUGUAAUGUACAAACAAAUUUUGUAGUUGCUGCAAGGGACUCCUGAAAAAAAAAAUCAUAUGCGCCAACACGAAUGCAUUAAAAGAACUGGGAGCACUUUCCCCCUAUAGAUCAAUGCUAAGCUUGUCGUA
Triticum aestivum (bread wheat) is the source of this 1697-nucleotide RNA transcript. It is a transcript of the gene named SAP30-binding protein, with no coding region annotated. NCBI's taxonomy places the organism in Eukaryota, Viridiplantae, Streptophyta, Magnoliopsida, Poales, Poaceae. The record is from RefSeq and is a predicted model, not a curated record. The transcript is spliced from 8 exons.